AUUGAACGCUGGCGGCAGGCCUAACACAUGCAAGUCGAACGGUAACAGGAAGCAGCUUGCUGCUUCGCUGACGAGUGGCGGACGGGUGAGUAAUGUCUGGGAAACUGCCUGAUGGAGGGGGUUAACUACUGGAAACGGUAGCUAAUCCCGCAUAACGUCGCAAGCCCAAAGAGGGGGACCUUAGGGCCUCUUGCCAUCGGCUGUGCCCAGAUGGGAUUAGCUAGUAGGUGGGGUAACGGCUCACCUAGGCCACGAUCCCUAGCUGGUCUGAGAGGAUGACCAGCCACACUGGAACUGAGACACGGUCCAGACUCCUACGGGAGGCAGCAGUGGGGAAUAUUGCGCAAUGGGCGAAAGCCUGAUGCAGCCAUGCCGCGUGUAUGAAGAAGGCCUUCGGGUUGUAAAGUACUGUCAGCGGGGAGGAAGGGAUUAGAGUUAAUACCUGUGCUCAUUGACGGUACCCGCAGAAGAAGCACCGGCUAACUCCGUG
Molecule: ribosomal RNA, 490 nt
Filed under: uncultured bacterium
Lineage: Bacteria
Description: partial 16S ribosomal RNA
Rfam family: Bacterial small subunit ribosomal RNA
Source: RNAcentral